Molecule: long non-coding RNA, 291 nt
Filed under: Mustela putorius furo (domestic ferret)
Lineage: Eukaryota; Metazoa; Chordata; Mammalia; Carnivora; Mustelidae
Description: lncRNA (ENSMPUG00000026631.1)
Source: RNAcentral
AAUUUAAUUGGGUAAAGGGAAAAUUUAUGCAUACAGUUUUGUGUGUUUUUUUUUUACCCUCAGACAUGAACAAGUGCCCUCAGUGGUAUAGAAGAAAUGGAAAUGGAAACUCUGCUCACCUGGCAUUAAAUUUAGGUGUUUCUCAGCAUCUUUGGCAUUUGGAGCAAAAAGUGAGUUUUGCUCGAUGUUCCAACUGGUAUGUCCUGGACUGGCACCCAUUCCUGCUCUCUUAUUUAGAAGACCAGUUUUUCAUUGGUGAGGAAGUAUUCUCUGUGCGUAAAAACUGAAAAG